Molecule: ribosomal RNA, 1263 nt
Filed under: metagenome
Description: bacterial LSU rRNA
Rfam family: Bacterial large subunit ribosomal RNA
Source: RNAcentral
CAACGUACAGGCCGUACCCUAAACCGACACAGGUGGACGAGUUGAGUAUACUCAGGCGCUUGAGAGAAGGGUGUUGAAGGAACUCGGCAAAUUGCCCUCGUAACUUCGGGAUAAGAGGGCCUGUCAUAUGCGCAAGCACUUGACAGGGGCACAGAAUUGGGGGUGGCGACUGUUUAUCAAAAACACAGGACUCUGCGAAGUCUCACAUGACGACGUAUAGGGUCUGACGCCUGCCCGGUGCUGGAAGGUUAAGGAGAGGAGUGCAAGCUCUGAACCGAAGCCCCAGUAAACGGCGGCCGUAAUUAUAAUGGUUCUAAGGUAGCGAAACUCCUUGUCGGGUAAGUUCCGACCUGCAUGAAUGGCGUAACGAUCUCCCCACUGUCUCCAACACCUCCUCAGUGAAAUUGAAUUCUCCGUGAAGAUGCGGAGUUCCCGCGGUUAGACGGAAAGACCCUAUGAACCUUUACUACAACUUUGCAGUGGUAUUAGAGAUAGCAUGUGUAGUAUAGGUGGGACUCUUUGAAGUUUGGGCGCUAGCCUGAGUGGAGAGGUCAGUGAAAUACCACCCUUGUAAUCUUUGAUAUCUAACUGAGCCCGGUGAAUCACGGGUCAGGACCCUGCAUGGCGGGUAGUUUGACUGGGGCGGUCGCCUCCCAAAGCAUAACGGAGGCGCGCGAUGGUCAGCUCAAUCUGGUCGGAAAUCAGAUGCUGAGUGCAAUGGCACAAGCUGGCCUGACUGCAAGACGGACAUGUCAAGCAGAGACGAAAGUCGGUCAUAGUGAUCCGGUGGUUCUUCGUGGAAGGGCCAUCGCUCAACGGAUAAAAGGUACUCUAGGGAUAACAGGCUGAUGACGCCCAAGCGUCCAUAGCGACGGCGUCGUUUGGCACCUCGAUGUCGGCUCAUCACAUCCCGGGGCUGGAGAAGGUCCCAAGGGUUCGGCUGUUCGCCGAUUAAAGUGGUACGUGAGCUGGGUUCAAAACGUCGUGAGACAGUUUGGUCCCUAUCUGCCGUGGGUGUAGGAAUAUUGAGAGGAGCUGUCCCUAGUACGAGAGGACCGAGAUGGACGUAUCUCUGGUGGAUCGGUUGUCGCGCCAGCGGCAUAGCCGAGUAGCUAAAAUACGGACGAGAUAAACGCUGAAAGCAUCUAAGCGUGAAACUUACCUCGAAACAAUUAUUCCCCGAGAGUCGUGAUAGACCAUCACGUUGAUAGGCCGGAUGUGGAAGCGUGGCGACAUGCGUAGCUAACCGGUACUAAUAACUCA